GCCACGGGGAUGCAAGUUGUCCAAUUUUUUUCGCAUUACAACUAGUAGCCCGUGAAUCGUCAAAACGGAUUGUGCUUGAUUCUCUUUAGCAUAUCAAGUGACUUUAUACCAACGAUUGAGAAAAGUUUUGUAAGAAAUAGCUUUAUUCCCAGCCCUGCUUUGCCUUUUCUGGUGGCCUAAGUGUUGUUUUGAGUUUUUUUGUUGACAAGUGUUGGCGGCCAUAUUGCUGGCUUCCCACUCUUCAGUAGACGCCCAGAGCAUAUACAACACAGCAGCGGGGGCGGUGUGCCAACCACUCAUACACCAAGAAAAAAAAAGAAGCCGAAGAAAGAUCAAGAACAGUUUUGCUUCAUUGAUUGGAUCCACAAGUUGAAUGCAACAACGAAUCUCUCAGGAUUAGUUUCGUUUUUUGGCCUUAACUUUGUUCAUCAACUUCUUGUUUGUGCCUCAACAGCUUGUGUUGUUUUUUUUCUAUCCUGCUUCCCCAGACAGCCUCCAGUUUGACAUUUUGCACAUUGGCUAACAGUUUAGAUCUCGCGUUGUGAUUUGUCAUUGCUUUUUGGCCGUGUCCCAGACUUUUUGUCUGUUGAGGAAUCUGUUUCCACUGUGUUACACUUGUCAAUGUGUCAUUACAUGCUAUGGGUGCAGCCAUAGUGCCUAGUGGAUGAGUGAUAUCUCGAUGAAAGUAUGGAUAACACGCUGACCAGUUUGGAAGAGAGGUUGAACGAGCCGAACUGGUCCGGAUUCCAAGGAGGUGCGCCACAGCUGCAGUGGAUCCCUGCUCCGUCGCAAUACGGCACGUCGUCAAUCAACGGCGGCCUGAUUGGCGGCAGUAGUAACAACAGUAGUAAUAACGCCAGCCAUUCCAAUCCGCCGUCGCGGGUGGUGGUUAUCAACCGAGACGAUAGAGGGUUCGGUUUCGUCGUGGCCGGUGACAAUCCCGUCUUCGUUCAAACCGUUCGUGAAGGCGGAGCCGCUGAGCGAGCCGGCAUUUUUAAGGAUGAUAUUAUUAUCAAGGUUAACGGAUCGUGGGUGACCCAGUCGAACCACGCCGAGGUCGUCGAUUUGAUUAGAGCGGGUGGAUCGAGUGUUGCUCUCACUGUGAUAUCGCCCGUCUACGGAUCAAGCAACGGGUCCGGCGUCCCGACUCACUACAACUCGCCGUACGCUAUGCCUUCACUUCAUCCGUCGUCAAGUCCGUCGGGUUCGCAGGCACCUCCGCCUCCGCCACCACCUCCCAUCAUGACGACAACUCCGACGUCAAGAGGAUUGCAUCAUCAGCCUUCGAUGCGCGGCGGAAUCACUAGUCCACAGCCUGUCGGGCACGAACAACAGCGCGUCGUCGAGUUGGAGCGUCUCAACACGUUCAAGUUGAUGCUGGAGAAGGAAGCCCAGUUUGUGGAGACGAAGAGAGGUGAUUUGGCGCGCGGAUACAACCCUGCCGUAGCCAUCGAGUUGGCCAGCGCUGAAAAGCGCGUCCGAGAGCUUCAACAGAAAUACAACCAUAUGGCAAACCGACUUGGACUGCCCACCUCGGAAAGUCAACCGCUACUGUUGUCGUCGGCUCAACGCUCUCCGUCGCCGGCCCACCGUCCCCAAUCGGCUCAUUAUCCGGGUGGAGUAUCUGUAGGACGUUCUGGCAGUAGUGGCAGUGGAAGUCGGAUAUCCCAGCGACCACCUGGUGCCGUUGAAGGUGGCGGUUGGGACAAUUUAGGAUGCGACGUCCCUCCGCCAUUGCCAGCCCGUAAUCGCUCAUUGGUCUCGCACAAUUCAUCCCCGUUGAUCCUGUCCCCCAGUCCUGCUCCAACUCCUGGCGAGACACCCUCGUCACCGCCGCCCCCACUUCCACCCCGCAAUCCUUCCACGGCCUCGUCUUCCUCUUGUUCUUCCUCCUCUUCGUCAUCCUCCACAGCCAUGCCGGACUUAGUCCCGUCGGUAAACGGAGCCAGUAAUCAGGAUCAACAUCGAAUUCUGCUGCGCGAUUCGCCCACUAACCAACCUCCUUCGUCCAGCGCCGGCCGACCGAGUACAAGCCCGUUGCCUUCACAUCACCGCACAAAGUCAAGCCCGUUUCCUUUUCCAGUCCAGCCUGUUGCUGCCAGCGCGCCAGACACCCGUCGUUUCAGUUCAUCCGAUUCCAUUAGUGAGUUGGAUUUAUCGACCAGACGUGGUGGUGGUGUCAGUGGCAAAGACACGGAUUCCCCCACACACGGCACUCCUCCCGGCACACCUCCGCCGCCUUACAGGCGACCCGUCAGUCCUUUGGCCGAAGAUGGGAAUGGCAGUGAGACGGCGGCGACAGGCUCGUUUCCAGCUGCUCGUCAAGCGGCCUCGCCUUCCGGAGUCGUUUAUGCCGGACAAGAAACCCAGUUAAAUAUUCUGUCGAUGGAAGAGGAUGAAUUUUCUGAUCACGAAUCGGUCAAGGGACAGAUUGACGAUCACGGAGUAUUCAAAACCUUAGCAAAACUAUGGCAGCACAAUGCACACUUGGCCGUCUUCAUGAAUUUUGUCAUGUCUAACUGCGAUCCAGCCAGUUUGUUCUUCCAUUUGAUAACGGAUCUGUACAAAGAGGGCACUGCCAAGGAUAUGAAGAAGUGGGCUUAUGAGAUUCAUUCAACUUACCUCGUUCCUAAUGCGCCUUUGAAAUUAAACAAUGUCGACGAGCACGUCUUGCACGAAAUUGAUGACGCCUUACAAGUGGACAUUGACAAGGAGGAGAUCCUGAGAAAGGUGUUUUUGAAAGCGAGAUCGAAAGCCAAGGAGGAAUUGAAACGGCAUUUAGCCGAGUUUCUAAGUAAACGGACCGUCGGCUUGGCAACCAUAUUUGGUCCGAGCGACGCCGUUCUAGACGAGACGAUCCACGACAAGGCAAAAGAGGUUAAGAUCGUAGAGAGCCUCCUCCUACCUCGGCUAGAGUUGUUGGCGGAGGAUUUGGAGAAUUCCAAUGAUCGAAACCAGGCCAUUGCCUCUUCGUUGGCCACAGUUUUGCAAAAAAACUUUAAUGUCAAGGGGCCACAAGCAACCAGUCAGAUCGAGCGUUGUCCCACAUUUGUGGCAAAGGAAAAAUCAAUCAAGCCCAAAUUCCUCAGUAAAAACAAGAAGCAACUGACUGCCAAGGGCCAUCACUUUGUGGCCCACCAGUAUUUCAGCGUGACACUCUGCAAUCACUGUGGCAACGUCUUGUGGGGCACCAGUCCCCAGGGAUACCAAUGCACAAAUUGCGAGAUGAACAUCCACAAAGGAUGCGUCAAGGUAAUCGAGGAGAGCUGUAUCGGGGCUCUACAUCGCAAGGAUCGUGGUAACGAUCGCAUCAGCAAGAUUGUCGAUCGCUUUCGUCCUGAAAGGGAACUAAAGAGAAAGUUGACCACCCAAGGAUUCGGCGAUAAAAAUUUACGCCGCGCCGACGACUCCCUAGAAGCGUCUGCUACCGGAUCGCUGGAUUCUGAAUCGUCAACAGCAGGUGACAAGCAGAGCGGAUUGGGAUCUAACGGCCGAUCGUUCAAUGACGGCUCGAGAGAUGGAGCACGUGAUCGACGUUCGGGAACUGGAUCGGGAUCCGAUUCGUUUGGAGAGGCUGACAGACGGGCCGGUUACACACCACCGUACGAAGAGGAGCUCGACAGUUCCGGCGCAUCCAACUUCAGUAAAAAGAAAGUCAGCCGUUCGGAGAGUCUGCGUGAACGGGCGCAGAGGAAACAUCGGGAAAAGCGGAAACAUAGCGACCCGAAUCUUCCACCAUCCCAUUCCAGUGACAUGGAUCGAGAAGACCGGAGCCUAUCCAACAACAACUCUGGCAGUUCGUCCAAUUCGAGUCUCUCCACAAGUUUGGAGAGUCCCAGUCCAUCCGACAUCCGCAUUUCGGGUUCCGCCUUAUCAGAUGGAUCGUCAGGGGUAUCUGCCGCCUUGUCCGUGGCCUCAUGCAACGCCGGCGGAUUGCUCACGCCCUGGGACAGUGACCUCGAAGCGGAUCCUGAUCCGCCGGAUUGGACGCGCAAUUUGGAUCCUGACGUUGUAGACAAGAUGACGCCCAAAGAGAAACAACGGCAGGAAGUCGUCAAUGAGCUCUUCCAUACCGAACGGAGUCACGUUCGUAACCUAAAGGUCCUGGACCGGGUGUUCUACCGCCCGCUACUCGACAACGGCUUCAGCGAUCUUGUUAAUCUGCUCUUCCCCAAUUUGCCCGACAUGUUGGAAAUCCACGGACGUUUCAACACACUCAUGAAAGCCCGCAAAAGAGACCAGCCGGCCGUUGAAACUGUUGGCGAUAUCCUGGUUGCCAUGUUUGACGGACCCAAUGGCGAAGCGUUCCAGCAAGCUGCCGCCACCUUCUGCAAGUACCAGUCAGUUGCUUUGGAGAGUUUAAGGGACAGACGCAAGAAAGACUCUAAACUCCAGGCAUUUUUGGCUGAAGCCGAAGGCAAUCCCGUUUGUCGGCGACUUCAGUUGAAAGAUAUCAUCCCGACAGCCAUGCAGCGGUUAACUAAAUAUCCGCUCUUGCUGGAAAGCCUGGCCAAGUACACGCAGCCGCGCAGUGAAGAAAUGACGUUGGUGCGCAGGUGUUUGGAACGGUCUCGCGAAAUCCUCAAUAAAGUCAACCAAGCCAUUAAGGAGGCUGAAAACUACAACCGGCUGGUGGAUAUCCAACGUCGACUGGACAAGUCGGCGUUUGAGAAAUCCGACCACGCCAUAGCUAAUGAACUCAAGGGUUUCUUGGUAUUUCAGAACUUUGAGUUGACAAAGCACCGUCUGAUCUACGAGGGCGCCCUGACGUGGAGGACAAAAGGACAGAAGAAUGUCGAUCUUCACGUCGUCCUCCUGGAGGAGUACAUCCUCUUGCUCCAGAAGCAAGACGACAAGUACGUGCUGAAAUUCCACAGCAUCAACUACCUGAACUCCAAGGAGGAAUCCAAGUGUACACACAGUCCUAUCAUCAAAAUCGCUACAGUUCUCGUUCGGCCGGUGGCUACAGACAAACUUGCUCUGUAUUUGGUCAACACGUCGCCGACAGGAGCUCAGAUUUACGAUCUUGUGGCAGUCUCCAUCGCCGAGAGAAAAGCAUGGUUUCGCCACAUCACUGACGCCACGGAAGCGUACAAAGCACGAGAAGGUCGCAACAGGCGACCGGAUGGAAGCGGGAGUGGCUCUUCCCCGUCGAUGGGAAGCGCCACCCCCAGCCUCAGUUCCUCUUCCAGUUCCGCUCAACUUUUACCGCCACUGCCACAGGCCGCCGAUUCAUCGGAAAAAACCAGUGAGGAGCCGAUCGAGGACAACGUGUCGGCCGAUUCCGGCGUCAGUUUGACGCCCAGUACCAACGAAACUCAGCCGCCGCCAAGCGAGCCAGCGAGUGAACAGCCGCCGCCGCCGCCGCCGCAGCAGCAGCAAUCUCAGCCAACCAACUUGGAGGCGGCCCAAGCCGAAGCCUCUAAGAAACCAGGUGAGAGCGGGACGACGACUCCGGGUAGCGGUUCAACGGCGGCCUCACCGGCGCCACAGCGACGCCUUCAAAGAGUCGAAAUUCUGAAAAUAGCCGAAGGAACGCCGUUAAUCGAUCCCACUGAGGUGGUAGUCUCUCAAGGAGCCGUUCUCAUCGCCGAACCUGUCCUCACUCCAUUAGAAAAGCUGCGGAGAAAAGAUCAGAUGAUCCGAGCUGCUCUGGCGGACAAACAAAGACUCGUGGCCGACAUUCUGCACGUUCCGCACUCUGAGCUGGAUCCAGCAUCAUCCGAGUUGCUGAGCGAAUCGGAAGGCGAGAAAGAAGCUCGAUUGCUAGUCAUGACGGCCAUAGCUCAAGCCACCCAACUCUCAGCUGUACUGAACGACAGUUUGCACGUCACCGAAGAGGAAGCCAUUGCUGCUGUCUCGGCGGAUCCCACGCCAGUCACAUCAUCACCAUCAUCGCCACGCUCAGCUCGACGGAUCAAUCGAAUGCCGGGCGCUGCAACUACCAAAUUGCUCGCCAUCACGUCCGCUCUCAAUAAGGACCUGACACAGCUCCUGGGUAUCGUCACGAAUCGAGACGAGGAACGCGAUCAGUUGCGCCGUGAAUUACAGAAGACACGCGAUCAGUUGGCUGAACAGUUGGUACUGCAAGUCGUAUCCCAUCCUACGUCCACUUCACGUCCGGUCAGCCACGUUUCCUUAUCGGACUGUGAGGCGACGAUAGAAUCCGAACAGUCAGAGGGCGCCCCUGCGUCUCCGGAAGUCGACAUCCAAGUACCCAGUGGAUGCGAAGGAGAAUCAAAUGAUGGGAACGAGUCACUAGUCGACAAAUCGAUAGUUCCAGUUGAAGCUGAAACGACGUCGCCAGUCACUUCGCCUUUUGACGAGGUUGACAGCGCAAUAAACUCGAACCAGACUUUGAGCGAGGAAGUAGUCGAAAGGAUCGACAUUGGCGAGAAAACAGAAUUGGAAGUUUCCCAGAGUAGUGAAGCUUGAAAAACAUCAUUAUUUUUUCAACAGCUACCAAGAAAAUAAUAAGAAUUUAUCUUCCCAAGUACAUUGUUUUAAGUGGCAUGAAAAAAGCAAAAAAAAAAAAAAAAAAAAAAAAAAAGAAGCAAAAAAAACGAAAUAUUCACUUCCAUCUUCUUUCGAUGACCUCAUUCCGCCAUUGAGCGACCUUUGUACAUAUGACGCCAAGAUUCGCUUAAAGUGCAAAAAUUUCAAAAACAAUAAGAGCAUGGAUUUUUUUUUCCUCCCCCACACACCCCAUACCCUACCCUCCCAGUUGUGAAGAUGUAUUGAAAGAAACGAAAAAUCAAUAAUUAACACGGUGGACGAUUGUUUAACGUGCCAAUCAAGACAUGGAGUCAGUCGGAUCCUGGCGCUAAGGCCGAUCUCUAUUGCAUUCUUUUUUUUCUGUUUUGUUUUAUUUUGUUCCUUAUUUUUCAAAGCUUUCUUCGGCGACUAGCGAACCUCUGGACUCGAAGAAUUUUUCCCCCUCUUUUUUUCCCUGUACAUCUCUCGAUUCGAUGCAGUCGAUUGGUUCAUAACAAAUAUACGCGGAGAAGGCAGAAAAAGUUUGUUGUAUCAAAAGACGUGUAGGAGAGAGAUUGAGAGGAACAAAACAAGAGAAUUAUGGCAAGCAACCCUAUAUUCGUCUCAAUGGAAAUAUUUUUAGAAAGUAGAUUCAAAUUGCGAAAGUGGCGCUAGAGACUUAACUUACUUGAUGUAACAACGAGAGAGAUUUGAAAUGCAUAGGAUCAAAUUUAUUUUUCGCGCGAUGGCUCUUUUUUUUUUUGAAAUUUGACUUCCCUUCUUGAUUUUAUAAUUAAAAAAAUAAGAACGUCUUCACUUGUCCCUCCUUCCUGCCAAUUUUGUCUGUGCUCUUGAUUUCCCCCAUCUCUGUCCAAAAUAUCACCCGUUUUGUUUUGUUGUACCGCAGAACUCUUUAAUUAUUAAGGAAACUCCUUUAGGUUUUCUCACCAUUCAUGCAAUACACUUGAAAUAUAUUGA
Molecule: unclassified non-coding RNA, 7452 nt
Filed under: Daphnia pulex (common water flea)
Lineage: Eukaryota; Metazoa; Arthropoda; Branchiopoda; Diplostraca; Daphniidae
Description: rho guanine nucleotide exchange factor 11-like, transcript variant X1
Source: RNAcentral